ACGCCUGCAAUCUUUUCUUUUUCUAUUUUCAUCCAUCUCGGUGUGUUCCUCUGCCCCCCUCUCCUCUCCUCUCCUCCUCCUCCUCUCUUUCCCAUCAGUCAUCUUUUCCCUCUUUCUCUGUCUCUCCUCUCCUCCCUCCCUGCCCUCUGAGGAAACUGCAGCUUCUGUGAGGCUUUUAAAAAUAGAAGCUGCUGAAAAGCAGAAAGUGAUGGGCACUUGAAGGUACAGCCCAGGUAACCUGAGAGGACCUGCAGACUGCUGGGGGGAGCAAAGGAAAAGGUCUUUCAUUCAAGGACGACUGUGGGCUGAAUGAUGUAGUCAUGCACCAGGGACGAGCCACAGCCACAGAAAUAGAGAUGCAACUGUCCGUCAAGAACAUCGGUAUUAAGUUUUUAAAGGUCAGAAAAGAAUAAGCUUAAAUUUUGAAUUUCUGCUUCUGCUUCCUGCAAAGAAAAGAGUUAAGAAACAAAGCAACAACAGGCUGAAUGUGCUCGGUGCUCCACUUCUCUUCAGGAAGACAAACAGCACGAAUUCAGCAUCUGCAUGAGAAACUGACAAUAUUUUGGAAGACAGUCUUGUUUGCCCUCAUGCCCAGAGCUAGAUGAGAGCAUUGUACAGACAGGUGGCGCACAUGUCCAAGCUUAGAAAGAAAGAGGAAGCGCUACCAGCCACUUCUUUUGUCUGUUUCCAGUGUAGAAGCAGCCGACAGCAGUGGGAGCAGAGAGGUGCAGCAGGUGUGGGCUCCAGCCUCCACAGACUGAUCGUCAUACAGCUUGUUUGACUUCAGGCAAAAAAUGAAUCAGGUUCAUCUUGGAAAAUAACAUGAGCAACAUUUCACCCACAUGGACUGGCGGAUUAAACUGAAACAUAUUUAACAGGAACCAAUCAGCACUCAGUAAUGAGCUGGUCAUUGGUAGAGAUCAGUACAGAGAGCUGCUGUUUCACUGGGUUCAGUGGUUCAGUGUCACUGGAGGUUUCUGUCACUGAGCGGUCUGUGAAACACAUUCCUGGGCUUCACCAAGAGACAGAAACUGCAGCAUAUGAAGGUUUGAACUCUGUCAACAAGCUCUACAACUGUUUUCUGACAGCAUUAAAAAAAAAACAGCUCUCAUUCAAACUGCCCUGCACAGCAGGACUGAGUGAGUCUGUAGCAGCUCAGUUAGAAUGGCUGCUGAGCUGUGAGUCAGUCUGACUCUGAUGCCAGGUGAAGUAUUAAAACCCAGCAGUGAACCCAGGAGGGCGGUGCUUCUGAAUCCCACGCCAGGGUCCACCUGGCCUGGGUAUGUCCAUCUGCACUGGAGGCUCCAUCUUACUGAACGGCAGCCAGGAGGAGAGAUCAGUGGGAGAGCAGCCAUACGGCAUCUGCUGCUGCGUACUACACACUGUGUACUCUGUGUG
Molecule: long non-coding RNA, 1398 nt
Organism: Seriola aureovittata
Lineage: Eukaryota; Metazoa; Chordata; Actinopteri; Carangiformes; Carangidae
Exons: 3
Source: RefSeq, a predicted model, not a curated record